Molecule: ribosomal RNA, 441 nt
Filed under: uncultured Neocallimastigomycetes
Lineage: Eukaryota; Fungi; Neocallimastigomycota; Neocallimastigomycetes
Description: LSU rRNA
Rfam family: Eukaryotic large subunit ribosomal RNA
Source: RNAcentral
GCUCAAAUUUGAAAUCUUCAAGGGUUUCCCUUUACGAAUUGUAGUUUAAAGAAGUGUUUUCUGUUGAGGUUUUGGUAAAAGUUCUUUGGAAUAGGACAUCAUAGAGGGUGAGAAUCCCGUACUUGACCUUUACUUUCAACUUUGUGAUACACUUUCAAAGAGUCGGAUUGUUUGGGAAUGCAGUCCAAAAUGGGUGGUAAAUUUCAUCUAAAGCUAAAUAUUGGCGAGAGACCGAUAGCGAACAAGUACCGUGAGGGAAAGAUGAAAAGAACUUUGAAAAGAGAGUUAAACAGUACGUGAAAUUGUCAAAAGGGAAGCGUUUGACACCAGUGUUGUUUUUCUGAAAAUCAAUUAAAGAACUGUUUAUGCUAAGCUGUUUAGACUUUAUCAGCUAUCUGUUUAGUUUUGAGCUUUUCUUUAAUGCACUUUUCAGUUAACAAG